GGGGAUUUAGCUCAGCGGUAGAGCACUUGCCUAGCAAGCGCAAGGUCCUGGGUUCGAUCCCCAGCUCCG
This 69-nucleotide transfer RNA is filed under the name Rattus norvegicus (Norway rat). It matches the Rfam family "tRNA". From Rfam's summary of the family: Transfer RNA (tRNA) molecules are approximately 80 nucleotides in length. Their secondary structure includes four short double-helical elements and three loops (D, anti-codon, and T loops). Further hydrogen bonds mediate the characteristic L-shaped molecular structure. tRNAs have two regions of fundamental functional importance: the anti-codon, which is responsible for specific mRNA codon recognition, and the 3' end, to which the tRNAs corresponding amino acid is attached (by aminoacyl-tRNA synthetases). tRNAs cope with the degeneracy of the genetic code in two manners: having more than one tRNA (with a specific anti-codon) for a particular amino acid; and 'wobble' base-pairing, i.e. permitting non-standard base-pairing at the 3rd anti-codon position. Lineage: Eukaryota; Metazoa; Chordata; Mammalia; Rodentia; Muridae. The record is from Rfam by way of RNAcentral.